GACGAACGCUGGCGGCGUGCUUAACACAUGCAAGUCGAACGGAAAGGCCCUUCGGGGUACUCGAGUGGCGAACGGGUGAGUAACACGUGGGUGAUCUGCCCUGCACUUUGGGAUAAGCCUGGGAAACUGGGUCUAAUACCGAAUAGGACCACGCGCUUCAUGGUGUGUGGUGGAAAGCUUUUGCGGGGUGGGAUGGGCCCGCGGCCUAUCAGCUUGUUGGUGGGGUAAUGGCCUACCAAGGCGACGACGGGUAGCCGGCCUGAGAGGGUGACCGGCCACACUGGGACUGAGAUACGGCCCAGACUCCUACGGGAGGCAGCAGUGGGGAAUAUUGCACAAUGGGCGCAAGCCUGAUGCAGCGACGCCGCGUGAGGGAUGACGGCCUUCGGGUUGUAAACCUCUUUCAAUAGGGACGAAGCGCAAGUGACGGUACCUAUAGAAGAAGCACCGGCCAACUACGUG
This 462-nucleotide ribosomal RNA is filed under the name uncultured bacterium. RNAcentral's name for it is "partial 16S ribosomal RNA". It matches the Rfam family "Bacterial small subunit ribosomal RNA", at positions 28 to 507 of the family's 1533-position model. The record is from RNAcentral.